This 465-nucleotide ribosomal RNA is filed under the name uncultured bacterium. Its description in RNAcentral is "partial 16S ribosomal RNA". It matches the Rfam family "Bacterial small subunit ribosomal RNA", at positions 28 to 507 of the family's 1533-position model. The record is from RNAcentral.
GACGAACGCUGGCGGCGUGCUUAACACAUGCAAGUCGUACGGUAAGGCCCUUUCUGGGGUACACGAGUGGCGAACGGGUGAGUAACACGUGAGUAACCUGCCCACAACUUUGGGAUAACGCUAGGAAACUGGUCCUAAUACCGGCUAUGUGCUCCUGCUGCAUGGUGGGGGUUGGAAAGCUCCGGCGGUUGUGGAUGGGCUCGCGGCCUAUCAGCUUGUUGGUGGGGUAGUGGCCUACCAAGGCGGCGACCCGUAGCCGGCCUGAGAGGGUGACCGGCCAUCUUGGGACUGAGAUACGGCCCAGAUUCGUACGGGAGGCAGAAGUGGGGAAUAUUGCACAAUGGGCGCCAGCCUGAUGCAGCAAGGCCGCGUGCGGGAUGACGGCCUUCGGGUUGUGAACCGGUUUCAGCAGGGACGAAGCUUUUUGUGACGGUACCUGCAGAAGAAGCACCGGCUAACUACGUG